RNAcentral lists this small RNA (27 nucleotides) under Bombyx mori (domestic silkworm). Its description in RNAcentral is "ovarian small RNA-34322". Lineage: Eukaryota; Metazoa; Arthropoda; Insecta; Lepidoptera; Bombycidae. The record is from RNAcentral.
UGCUUGGUGUGAGGGCGCGAGGUCUUC